GGUCUCUGCACCUAUCCUUUCCUUUGUAUUCUAGUUCGAGAACCCCUUGUUUUCUCAAAACACGGAUUUGGCUCAGGAUUACCCUUUUUUAAUUCCAGGGUUUCCCUGAAUUUGGAAGUUACCACCUAG
RNAcentral lists this ribosomal RNA (129 nucleotides) under Triticum aestivum (bread wheat). Its description in RNAcentral is "partial small subunit ribosomal RNA". The record is from RNAcentral. Lineage: Eukaryota; Viridiplantae; Streptophyta; Magnoliopsida; Poales; Poaceae.